RNAcentral lists this ribosomal RNA (1705 nucleotides) under Castellaniella caeni NBRC 101664. RNAcentral describes it as "bacterial LSU rRNA". It matches the Rfam family "Bacterial large subunit ribosomal RNA", at positions 1225 to 2925 of the family's 2925-position model. Lineage: Bacteria; Pseudomonadati; Pseudomonadota; Betaproteobacteria; Burkholderiales; Alcaligenaceae. The record is from RNAcentral.
GCGGUAGGAGAGCGUUCUGUAAGCCUGCGAAGGUGGCUUGUAAAGGCUGCUGGAGGUAUCAGAAGUGCGAAUGCUGACAUGAGUAGCGAUAAAGGGGGUGAAAGGCCCCCUCGCCGUAAGUCCAAGGUUUCCUGCGCAACGUUCAUCGGCGCAGGGUGAGUCGGCCCCUAAGGCGAGGCAGAGAUGCGUAGCUGAUGGGAAGCUGGUUAAUAUUCCAGCACCGUCGUGAGAUGCGAUGGGGGGACGGAUAGCGCAAGAUCAUCGGGGUGUUGGAUGUCCCCGUUGCUGCUCCAUAGAAGGCACCUAGGCAAAUCCGGGUGCGUAAUUCAAGGGAGUGGCUGAAUAGAGACCUCGGUCUCUAAACUGAUUGACAGUUGUCCCAGGAAAAGCCUCUAAGCUUCAGUCUCACGAGACCGUACCGCAAACCGACACAGGUGGACGGGAUGAAUAUUCCAAGGCGCUUGAGAGAACUCAGGAGAAGGAACUCGGCAAAUUGAUACCGUAACUUCGGGAGAAGGUAUGCCCUGGUAGUGUGAUGCGCCUGCGCGCAAAGCAUGAAGGGGCCGCAGAGAAUCGGUGGCUGCGACUGUUUAUUAAAAACACAGCACUCUGCCAAGACGAAAGUCGACGUAUAGGGUGUGACGCCUGCCCGGUGCCGGAAGGUUAAGUGAUGGGGUGCAAGCUCUUGAUCGAAGCCCCGGUAAACGGCGGCCGUAACUAUAACGGUCCUAAGGUAGCGAAAUUCCUUGUCGGGUAAGUUCCGACCUGCACGAAUGGCGUAACGAUGGCCACACUGUCUCCUCCUGAGACUCAGCGAAGUUGAAAUGUUUGUGAUGAUGCAAUCUACCCGCGGCUAGACGGAAAGACCCCAUGAACCUUUACUGUAGCUUUGCAUUGGAUUGUGAACCGGCCUGUGUAGGAUAGGUGGGAGGCGUUGAAACCGAGUCGCUAGAUUCGGUGGAGCCAACCUUGAAAUACCACCCUGGUCUGUUUGCGGUUCUAACCUUGGCCCGUUAUCCGGGUUGGGGACAGUGCAUGGUGGGCAGUUUGACUGGGGCGGUCUCCUCCUAAAGUGUAACGGAGGAGUACGAAGGUACGCUAGGUACGGUCGGAAAUCGUGCUGAUAGUGCAAUGGCAUAAGCGUGCUUGACUGUGAGACUGACAAGUCGAACAGGUGCGAAAGCAGGUCAUAGUGAUCCGGUGGUUCUGUAUGGAAGGGCCAUCGCUCAACGGAUAAAAGGUACUCUGGGGAUAACAGGCUGAUACCGCCCAAGAGUUCAUAUCGACGGCGGUGUUUGGCACCUCGAUGUCGGCUCAUCUCAUCCUGGGGCUGUAGCCGGUCCCAAGGGUAUGGCUGUUCGCCAUUUAAAGAGGUACGUGAGCUGGGUUUAAAACGUCGUGAGACAGUUUGGUCCCUAUCUGCCGUGGGCGUUGGAUACUUGACGGAGCCUGCUCCUAGUACGAGAGGACCGGAGUGGACGCACCGCUGGUGUAUCGGUUGUCAUGCCAAUGGCAUUGCCGAGUAGCUAUGUGCGGAAGAGAUAAGCGCUGAAGGCAUCUAAGCGCGAAACUCGUCUGAAGAUUAGGUAUCCCGGGGGCUUGACCCCCCUGAAGGGUCGUCCAAGACCAGGACGUUGAUAGGCUGGGUGUGGAAGCGCAGUAAUGCGUGCAGCUAACCAGUACUAAUUGCCCGUGCGGCUUGAUC